This 1456-nucleotide long non-coding RNA is filed under the name Numida meleagris (helmeted guineafowl). Its description in RNAcentral is "lncRNA (ENSNMEG00000008614.1)". The record is from RNAcentral. Lineage: Eukaryota; Metazoa; Chordata; Aves; Galliformes; Numididae.
AAACAAUGGCAUCUGACAUGGUCAUGCGGAUGAAGCAAAGGUGUGGAACUGCAUUCCUCUGCGCAGAAAAAAAUGGCACACACUAACAUUCAUUGAUGUUUGCUGAAUGUUUAUGGAAACCAAAGAGGGGAUGUGAGCACAGUGAGGUCAUGGGUGGAGCGUUUCAACAGUGUUAACAGUGACAUGAAAGGCAAGUCUUGUUCCAGAGGGCCACACAGAUUUUACAAGUACAGUACGCAGGCUCUUAUUGAAAGACUGGUGAAAAUGCAUAGCUAAUGGUGGUGACUGUGUUGAAAAAUAAUGCUUUGUAGCAGAGAAUUUGCUCUAUCAAACAGUGUUAUUGUGCUCUUUAUAUCUAUGUUAGCUUCCAUGGAAAUAAAUGAGACAUUACUUUCAGAGCAACCUACAAACUUUGAGGUUUCAGCACCAUACAGUGUUAUUUGUGUCUCCAUUUUACUCCACACAUUUUAGUAUUUCCCUAUGAAAAUACAUACCAGUUUGCAGGCUUGCUGCCUUUCUAAUGCCAACCAAAAAAAAAGAAGAAAAAAAGGAUUUUGAGCAGAAUGGUUUAAUGCCAUGCACUCUUCAUGGUCUCUUGUGCACACUGUAGGCCUUCCUUCCUGCAAGCUGCUUGACUGACAGGUUCCUGCGGGCCUUGGAGACAGCCAGGGAAAAGGAGCAGCAGCCAUGUUCAGAAAGAGUUUCAUUUACUAUGUUCCAUCAGAGAAUUAUUCAGAGGCCAAUAACCAGCGCAGACAGUUGUCAUAACAUUGUAAAAUUACUACAGACUUUGGAAGAAAGAAGUGGCAAUUACUCUUGGGGAAGUGUGCUUAGGAGACACUGGGAAAAACUGGAUUCUGUCAUGUUAACCAUUUCCAAUGCAGUCUCAUGGUCCUACAAGAAAUGAAAUUCACACGACUGAUAGCAACAUCUAAAGAAAUAGAAGAUGUAAAAGGGAAUUUAAAAAGAUGUCUCGGCUGCUUGGAAGCCUCAAGAAGCAGAUCUGUCUCUGGAUUUGAUCAAGUCAACAUUUUGUAGCAGAGUAGGAGAUUCUAUUUUCUUUGAAACUGGAAGGAAAUAAUGAAAGUACCAUACUGGUAUAAGACUAGGCCAUUCAUUGGUGAGGUUUCUCAUAAUUUCACUAACUUCUGGUAAUCUGUGAUAAUUUAUGCUAGGAAAUGUUGUUUUCUAUGAUGUUUCAAAUUAUUUAUAUGUCAUUGAACUUCAGAAGAGUCCACAAUUUCCUUUGAUCCUUAAAAUAGUUUGUCCUUAAGUCGCAAGAUUAUUUUAUUUCAACGAGGCUAACAAAAAGUAUGCUAUUUAACUUCGGUGUAAGAAUCUUCAUGCCUAUUUCUUUUUGUUUGUAGAAAGGAAUCUUGAAAUUAAACCUUAAUUAUAAAUGACUUAAUGUUGGCAUGUUAUAUCUCACAGCUAAUAAAAACAUCUAAAGACAACA